This 164-nucleotide ribosomal RNA is filed under the name Anaeromyces robustus. Its description in RNAcentral is "5.8S ribosomal RNA". It matches the Rfam family "5.8S ribosomal RNA". Rfam says of the family: 5.8S ribosomal RNA (5.8S rRNA) is a component of the large subunit of the eukaryotic ribosome. Lineage: Eukaryota; Fungi; Neocallimastigomycota; Neocallimastigomycetes; Neocallimastigales; Neocallimastigaceae. The record is from Rfam by way of RNAcentral.
AACUUUUAACAAGGAAUCUUUUGGUUCUCGUAACGAUGAAAACACAGAAAAUGUGAUAAGUAGUGUGAAUUGCAGAAUACGUGAAUCUUCGAAUCUUCGAACGUAUAUUGCAUAAUUUUUUUAGCUUACUAAAAAAAAAAAAAAGUAUGUCUGUUUGAGUAUCU